This 77-nucleotide transfer RNA is filed under the name Marinimicrobium hydrolyticum. RNAcentral describes it as "Marinimicrobium sp. ABcell2 tRNA-Pro". It matches the Rfam family "tRNA". Rfam says of the family: Transfer RNA (tRNA) molecules are approximately 80 nucleotides in length. Their secondary structure includes four short double-helical elements and three loops (D, anti-codon, and T loops). Further hydrogen bonds mediate the characteristic L-shaped molecular structure. tRNAs have two regions of fundamental functional importance: the anti-codon, which is responsible for specific mRNA codon recognition, and the 3' end, to which the tRNAs corresponding amino acid is attached (by aminoacyl-tRNA synthetases). tRNAs cope with the degeneracy of the genetic code in two manners: having more than one tRNA (with a specific anti-codon) for a particular amino acid; and 'wobble' base-pairing, i.e. permitting non-standard base-pairing at the 3rd anti-codon position. Lineage: Bacteria; Pseudomonadati; Pseudomonadota; Gammaproteobacteria; Cellvibrionales; Cellvibrionaceae. The record is from RNAcentral.
CGGAGCGUAGCGCAGUUUGGUAGCGCACCACACUGGGGGUGUGGGGGUCACAGGUUCAAAUCCUGUCGUUCCGACCA